RNAcentral lists this ribosomal RNA (261 nucleotides) under uncultured prokaryote. RNAcentral describes it as "partial 16S ribosomal RNA". It matches the Rfam family "Bacterial small subunit ribosomal RNA", at positions 524 to 784 of the family's 1533-position model. The record is from RNAcentral.
UACGUAGGUGGCAAGCGUUAUCCGGAAUUAUUGGGCGUAAAGAGCGCGCAGGUGGUUGAUUAAGUCUGAUGUGAAAGCCCACGGCUUAACCGUGGAGGGUCAUUGGAAACUGGCCGACUUGAGUGCAGAAGAGGGAAGUGGAAUUCCAUGUGUAGCGGUGAAAUGCGUAGAAAUCAGGAGGAACACCAGUGGCGAAGGCGACUGCCUGGACUGACCCUGACGCUGAGGUGCGAAAGCGUGGGUAGCAAACAGGAUUAGAUA